GCCCGGCUAGCUCAGUUGGUAGAGUAUAAGAUUGUUAAUUUCAGGGUUGUGGGUUUGAGCCCCACAUUGGGCA
Polyodon spathula (Mississippi paddlefish) is the source of this 73-nucleotide non-coding RNA. The record is from the annotation of a RefSeq genome assembly. Lineage: Eukaryota; Metazoa; Chordata; Actinopteri; Acipenseriformes; Polyodontidae.